GUCUGGCCUGCCCACUGAAACGUUUUAAAGGGCCGCGGUAAUUUGACCGUGCGAAGGUAGCAUAAUCAGUAGUCUUUUAAUUGGAGGCUGGAAUGAAUGGUCGAACAAAGAGUUAGCUGUCUUUAUGCAAUAUUUGAAGUUUACUUUUAAGUGAAAAGGCUUAAAUACACUGGGGGGACGAUAAGACCCUAUAAAACUUUACAAAUACAGCUUGUGUUUUUUAAAUUAAAGUUUAAUAUAAAUUACUAUCUAUUUGUUAUGUUGGGGCGACAAAGAUAUAAUUAGAGUAACUGUCAGUUUUAUUAAAUAGUAAUAAUUAGUUUCAUUGAUCCUUUAUUAGAGAUUAUAAGAUUAAGUUACUUUAGGGAUAACAGCGUAAUUUUCUUUGAGAGUCCAUAUCGACAAGAAUAGUUGCGACCUCGAUGUUGAAUUAAGGUUUCCCUCAGGUGAAGCAGUUUGAGUGGUGGGUCUGUUCGACCUU
Molecule: ribosomal RNA, 481 nt
Filed under: Plesionika fenneri
Lineage: Eukaryota; Metazoa; Arthropoda; Malacostraca; Decapoda; Pandalidae
Description: partial 16S ribosomal RNA
Rfam family: Bacterial large subunit ribosomal RNA
Source: RNAcentral